UACGUAGGCAGCAAGCGUUGUUCGGAAUUACUGGGCGUAAAGAGUGUGUAGGCGGUUCGCUAAGUUCGGUGGGAAAUCUCCCGGCUUAACUGGGAGGGGGCGCCGGAAACUGGCGGGCUUGAGUAUGGGAGAGGAAAGCGGAAUUCCUGGUGUAGCGGUGAAAUGCGUAGAUAUCAGGAGGAACAUCUGUGGUGUAGAAGGCUUUCUGGCCCGUCACUGACGCUGAGACACGAAAGCGUGGGUAGCAAACAGG
Molecule: ribosomal RNA, 253 nt
Filed under: uncultured bacterium
Lineage: Bacteria
Description: partial 16S ribosomal RNA
Rfam family: Bacterial small subunit ribosomal RNA
Source: RNAcentral